RNAcentral lists this long non-coding RNA (1240 nucleotides) under Homo sapiens (human). Its description in RNAcentral is "non-protein coding LINC01227:18". The record is from RNAcentral. Lineage: Eukaryota; Metazoa; Chordata; Mammalia; Primates; Hominidae.
AGUCUAGUCUGUGACCUGAGCCAUCAUGGUAGGGUGUCCAGGGUGAGGGGAGGGUGGUGUGAAUCCCCAGUAAUGCAGGUCCUUUCCAGGCCAGGCCCCUGGUCCCCAGGAGUGCGGGGAUGCCUGAGGUCUACUGCUGCCUUAUCCAGAGCUGCCAUCCCCGGCGAUGACUCAGAGUUCCUGUGGCCCCAGCAUCAUCCCUCCAUCCCUGGCUGUGAGGCAGGAGCAGAGUUGCAGACCUGAGAGGCCUUGAAUUUGUUUGAUAUAGGACUUUGCCACCAGACAAAGUGCUUUGCCUGUGAGGUCUGGCUUGGCCUGGCCUCUGAGAAAGAACAAACACAGACCUCACUGGAAGGAACCUGGAGAACGGGAGAGGAGAGGCUGCUGCUGUCUGCCCUCCCAGCAGCAGAUAUAAAGACAAUGGGCUUCUAAGUCCCCUAGAGUCCCAGCUGUGUAAUUUAAGGCGAGUUCAUCUCUCACAGCCUCAGUUUCCUCAUUUGCUGGCACCUGUCUUUCUCCUUCAUAGCCAUUGUCACUGUUGCAAUGAUAUCAACAAUGCUUACAUUUCAGAUAGAUCCCCAGCUGGGUUGAAAGGAACGUCAAGACCCUUCCUUUCUUAUGACCUAUGUAUCAACUCCCUUCUACCUUGCCUCCCUCCACUUGGAGCGAGUUCUAGUUGGUGAAAUGUAGCCAGAGGUUCCUGGAAAGGCUUUCCUUCUCAAGUAAAGCCUGGCUCAGAGAAAACCACUGGUCUCUUUCCUUUUCUUCCUCCUGACAUGAACAUGGGGCAGGAAGGAGCAUGGAGAAGACAAGAACAAGGCUCUCAGAAGGAAAUGGUGUGGCUGGAGCCAUGAGAACUGGUUGUGGAGGGGGCAAAUAUAAUUUCUGACCUACGUAAUGAUGUAUGCACAAGAAGCCUCUCUUGAAUGUAUUAAUUCAGUAAACAGUUAUGGAGUCCUUACAAUGUGCUAGUGGGACUUUGAAGAUGAAUCCAAAUUUGGAUCCUGGCCUGGAAAGGCUCAAAGCCCAAUAUGGGAGCCUGGAUACAAAUGUGAAACUUAUCUUCUUUUAUUAACCAAUCAAUCACCUCCUGCCAAAACAACAUCAGCAAAAACAACAGAAAAAAACAAAAACAAAAACAAAAACAAAUCUGUGUACACAAGACCUUUGUUUCCACAGCAGACUUGGCUAAAGGUUUGGGCAUGCAUAUGCAUACCCCCAAAAUUAAAAAUGGAAAAUU